Molecule: ribosomal RNA, 446 nt
Filed under: uncultured bacterium
Lineage: Bacteria
Description: partial 16S ribosomal RNA
Rfam family: Bacterial small subunit ribosomal RNA
Source: RNAcentral
CCUACGGGAGGCAGCAGUCGAGAAGCAGGCACAAGGGGGGAAACCCUGAUGGUGCGAAGGAGCGUGGGGGAAUGAAGGUCGGCGGAUUGUAAACCCCUGUCAUGUGGGAGCAAAUUAAAAAGAUAGUACCACAAGAGGAAGAGAAGGCUAACUCGCUGCCAGCUGCCGCGGUAAUACAGAGGUCUCAAGCGUUGUUCGGAAUCACUGGGCGUAAAGCGUGCGUAGGCUGUUUCGUAAGUCGUGUGUGAAAGGCGCGGGCUCAACCCGCGGACGGCACAUGAUACUGCGAGACUAGAGUAAUGGAGGGGGAACCGGAAUUCUCGGUGUAGCAGUGAAAUGCGUAGAUAUCGAGAGGAACACUCGUGGCGAAGGCGGGUUCCUGGACAUUAACUGACGCUGAGGCACGAAGGCCAGGGGAGCGAAAGGGAUUAGAUACCCUUGUAGUC